Mastomys coucha (southern multimammate mouse) is the source of this 397-nucleotide long non-coding RNA. RefSeq lists it as uncharacterized. The transcript has 3 exons. NCBI's taxonomy places the organism in Eukaryota, Metazoa, Chordata, Mammalia, Rodentia, Muridae. The record is from RefSeq and is a predicted model, not a curated record.
CGCAGCUCUGGGGAUAGCUGUCAUACCUAUAUGUGACUCGAGUGACAGCAGCUUCAUGGGAUGCAGAUGUCGCGGACGAUCCGGAAAUGGUCUUUCAAGAAUCUCUCUGGAGAAUACUAUUGCUCCGCUUGUUUCCAUGACGCGGUGGAGAGCUUCACAUUCCCUAGUUAGAUCUAAGGAUUAUGUUGAUUAGCUUUCCCACUGCUGUGAUCAAAUAGACAAGAGGCAACUUCAGGGAAGAAGAUUCUUGUGGCUCACCGUUUGGAGAUAUAACCUGCUCAUACUCAGCCCUGGCAACUUCCGUGACACAUUCUAUGUCUAUGAGCCUGCCUGCUCAAGUAUCUUCUGUAAGUAGAAACAUAAAAUAUUUGUCCUGGGGCCUGGAGAGAUGGCUCAG